RNAcentral lists this ribosomal RNA (496 nucleotides) under uncultured bacterium. RNAcentral's name for it is "partial 16S ribosomal RNA". It matches the Rfam family "Bacterial small subunit ribosomal RNA", at positions 28 to 506 of the family's 1533-position model. The record is from RNAcentral.
GAUGAACGCUGGCGGCGUGCCUAAUACAUGCAAGUCGAGCGAACAGACGAGGAGCUUGCUCCUCUGACGUUAGCGGCGGACGGGUGAGUAACACGUGGAUAACCUACCUAUAAGACUGGGAUAACUUCGGGAAACCGGAGCUAAUACCGGAUAAUAUAUUGAACCGCAUGGUUCAAUAGUGAAAGACGGUUUUGCUGUCACUUAUAGAUGGAUCCGCGCCGCAUUAGCUAGUUGGUAAGGUAACGGCUUACCAAGGCAACGAUGCGUAGCCGACCUGAGAGGGGGCUCGUCCACAGUGGAAGGCGGACACCGUACAAGCGCCAAGGGAAGGACACAGCAGGGAACAUGACCAAAGGGGCGAAACAUUGAAGGAUGAACGGCCUGGGGAGGAAGACGGUCUUCGUUGCGUAAAACUGUUUUAUUAGGGAAAAAAAAAUUGUAAAGAGAUGAACAGCGUUUAGAGGGUACCAAAACAAAAGGCCGGGGGUAACCACGA